RNAcentral lists this ribosomal RNA (782 nucleotides) under Chryseobacterium sp. RNAcentral describes it as "bacterial SSU rRNA". It matches the Rfam family "Bacterial small subunit ribosomal RNA", at positions 43 to 824 of the family's 1533-position model. Lineage: Bacteria; Pseudomonadati; Bacteroidota; Flavobacteriia; Flavobacteriales; Weeksellaceae. The record is from RNAcentral.
GAGGCCUAACACAUGCAAGCCGAGCGGUAGAAGAUCUUCGGAUCUUUGAGAGCGGCGCACGGGUGCGGAACACGUGUGCAACCUACCUUUAUCAGGGGGAUAGCCUUUCGAAAGGAAGAUUAAUACCCCAUAAUAUAUUGAAUGGCAUCAUUCGAUAUUGAAAACUCCGGUGGAUAGAGAUGGGCACGCGCAAGAUUAGAUAGUUGGUGAGGUAACGGCUCACCAAGUCAAUGAUCUUUAGGGGGCCUGAGAGGGUGAUCCCCCACACUGGUACUGAGACACGGACCAGACUCCUACGGGAGGCAGCAGUGAGGAAUAUUGGACAAUGGGUGAGAGCCUGAUCCAGCCAUCCCGCGUGAAGGACGACGGCCCUAUGGGUUGUAAACUUCUUUUGUAUAGGGAUAAACCUUUCCACGUGUGGAAAGCUGAAGGUACUAUACGAAUAAGCACCGGCUAACUCCGUGCCAGCAGCCGCGGUAAUACGGNAGGGUGCAAGCGUUAUCCGGAUUUAUUGGGUUUAAAGGGUCCGUAGGCGGACUCGUAAGUCAGUGGUGAAAUCUCAUAGCUUAACUAUGAAACUGCCAUUGAUACUGCGGGUCUUGAGUAAGGUAGAGGUAGCUGGAAUAAGUAGUGUAGCGGUGAAAUGCAUAGAUAUUACUUAGAACACCAAUUGCGAAGGCAGGUUACCAUGUCUUAACUGACGCUGAUGGACGAAAGCGUGGGGAGCGAACAGGAUUAGAUACCCUGGUAGUCCACGCCGUAAACGAUGCUAACUCGUUUUU